UGAAACCGUGUACGUACAAGCAGUAGGAGCAGGCUUUGUCCUGUGACUGCGUACCUUUUGUAUAAUGGGUCAGCGACUUAUAUUCAGUGGCAAGGUUAACCAUCUAGGGGAGCCGUAGGGAAACCGAGUCUUAACUGGGCGUUCAGUCUCUGGAUAUAGACCCGAAACCAGGUGAUCUAGCCAUGGGCAGGUUGAAGGUUGAGUAACAUCAACUGGAGGACCGAACCGACUAAUGUUGAAAAAUUAGCGGAUGACUUGUGGCUAGGGGUGAAAGGCCAAUCAAACCUGGAGAUAGCUGGUUCUCCCCGAAAGCUAUUUAGGUAGCGCCUCGGACGAAUACUACUGGGGGUAGAGCACUGUUAAGGCUAGGGGGUCAUCCCGACUUACCAACCCUUUGCAAACUCCGAAUACCAGUAAGUACUAUCCGGGAGACACACGGCGGGUGCUAACGUCCGUCGUGGAGAGGGAAACAACCCAGACCGCCAGCUAAGGUCCCAAAUUACUACUAAGUGGGAAACGAUGUGGGAAGGCUCAGACAGCCAGGAUGUUGGCUUAGAAGCAGCCAUCAUUUAAAGAAAGCGUAAUAGCUCACUGGUCGAGUCGGCCUGCGCGGAAGAUGUAACGGGGCUAAGUAGUAAACCGAAGCUGCGGCAAUAUACUUUUGUAUAUUGGGUAGGGGAGCGUUCUGUAAGCGGUUGAANUGUAACGGGGCUAAGUAGUAAACCGAAGCUGCGGCAAUAUACUUUUGUAUAUUGGGUAGGGGAGCGUUCUGUAAGCGGUUGAAGGUGUGUGGUAACGCAUGCUGGACGUAUCAGAAGUGCGAAUGCUGACAUGAGUAACGAUAAAGGGGGUGAAAAACCUCCUCGCCGGAAGACCAAGGGUUCCUGUCCAACGUUAAUCGGGGCAGGGUAAGUCGACCCCUAAGGCGAGGCCGAAAGGCGUAGUCGAUGGGAAACGGGUUAAUAUUCCCGUACUUCUUACAAUUGCGAUGGGGGGACGGAGAAGGCUAGGUGGGCCUGGCGACGGUUGUCCAGGUUCAAGUGCGUAGGCUUGAGAGUUAGGUAAAUCCGGCUCUCUUUAAGGCUGAGACACGACGUCGAGCACCUACGGGUNNNGCGUAAUAGCUCACUGGUCGAGUCGGCCUGCGCGGAAGAUGUAACGGGGCUAAGUAGUAAACCGAAGCUGCGGCAAUGUGCUUUUGCACAUUGGGUAGGGGAGCGUUCUGUAAGCGGUUGAAGGUGUGUGGUAACGCAUGCUGGACGUAUCAGAAGUGCGAAUGCUGACAUGAGUAACGAUAAAGGGGGUGAAAAACCUCCUCGCCGGAAGACCAAGGGUUCCUGUCCAACGUUAAUCGGGGCAGGGUAAGUCGACCCCUAAGGCGAGGCCGAAAGGCGUAGUCGAUGGGAAACGGGUUAAUAUUCCCGUACUUCUUACAAUUGCGAUGGGGGGACGGAGAAGGCUAGGUGGGCCUGGCGACGGUUGUCCAGGUUCAAGUGCGUAGGCUUAAGAGUUAGGUAAAUCCGGCUCUUUCUAAGGCUGAGACACGACGUCGAGCACCUACGGGUGUGAAGUCAUUGAUGCCAUGCUUCCAGGAAAAGCCUCUAAGCUUCAGAUUGUAAGGAAUCGUACCCCAAACCGACACAGGUGGUCGGGUAGAGAAUACCAAGGCGCUUGAGAGAACUCGGGUGAAGGAACUAGGCAAAAUGGUACCGUAACUUCGGGAGAAGGUACGCUCUCGACGGUGAAGUCCCUCGCGGAUGGAGCUAUUGAGAGUCGCAGAUACCAGGUGGCUGCAACUGUUUAUUAAAAACACAGCACUGUGCAAAAUCGUAAGAUGACGUAUACGGUGUGACGCCUGCCCGGUGCCGGAAGGUUAAUUGAUGGGGUUAGACUUCGGUCGAAGCUCUUGAUCGAAGCCCCGGUAAACGGCGGCCGUAACUAUAACGGUCCUAAGGUAGCGAAAUUCCUUGUCGGGUAAGUUCCGACCUGCACGAAUGGCGUAAUGAUGGCCACGCUGUCUCCACCCGAGACUCAGUGAAAUUGAAAUCGCUGUGAAGAUGCAGUGUACCCGCGGCUAGACGGAAAGACCCCGUGAACCUUUACUACAGCUUGGCACUGAACAUUGACCCUACAUGUGUAGGCUAGGUGGGAGGCUUUGAAGACGGUACGCCAGUAUCGUNNNGCCGUCCUUGAAAUACCACCCUUGUAGUGUUGAUGUUCUAACGUCGACCCCUUAUCGGGGUUGCGGACAGUGCCUGGUAGGUAGUUUGACUGGGGCGGUCUCCUCCCAAAGAGUAACGGAGGAGCACGAAGGUGGGCUAAUCACGGUUGGACAUCGUGAGGUUAGUGCAAUGGCAUAAGCCCGCUUGACUGCGAGAAUGACAAUUCGAGCAGGUGCGAAAGCAGGUCAUAGUGAUCCGGUGGUUCUGAAUGGAAGGGCCAUCGCUCAACGGAUAAAAGGUACUCCGGGGAUAACAGGCUGAUACCGCCCAAGAGUUCAUAUCGACGGCGGUGUUUGGCACCUCGAUGUCGGCUCAUCACAUCCUGGGGCUGAAGUCGGUCCCAAGGGUAUGGCUGUUCGCCAUUUAAAGUGGUACGCGAGCUGGGUUUAGAACGUCGUGAGACAGUUCGGUCCCUAUCUGCCGUGGGCGUUGGAAGAUUGAAGGGGGCUGCUCCUAGUACGAGAGGACCGGAGUGGACGAACCUCUGGUGUUCGGGUUGUGUCGCCAGACGCAUUGCCCGGUAGCUAAGUUCGGAAUCGAUAACCGCUGAAAGCAUCUAAGCGGGAAGCGAGCCCUGAGAUGAGUCUUCCCUGAUACUUUAAGUAUCCUAAAGGGUUGUCGGAGACUACGACGUUGAUAGGUCAGGUGUGUAAGUGCUGUGAGGCAUUGAGCUAACUGAUACUAAUUGCCCGUGAGGCUUAACCAU
Molecule: ribosomal RNA, 2928 nt
Filed under: Vibrio parahaemolyticus
Lineage: Bacteria; Pseudomonadati; Pseudomonadota; Gammaproteobacteria; Vibrionales; Vibrionaceae
Description: partial 23S ribosomal RNA
Rfam family: Bacterial large subunit ribosomal RNA
Source: RNAcentral